AAGACAUGCAAGUCGAACGGGAUCAGAUUCGUAGCAAUACGCAUCUGGUUCAGUGGCGCACGGGUGCGUAACACGUGAGCAAUCUGCCGGGAAGUGGGGGAUAGCUCGCCGAAAGGCGAAUUAAUACCGCAUGUGGCUAGGGAUGACAUCCUUCCGAAGCCAAAGCAGCAAUGCGCUUCCCGAUGAGCUCGCGGCCUAUCAGCUAGAUGGCGGGGUAACGGCCCACCAUGGCUAUGACGGGUAGCUGGUCUGAGGACGACCAGCCACACUGGAACUGAGACACGGUCCAGACACCUACGGGUGGCAGCAGUCGAGAAUUUUUCACAAUGGGGGAAACCCUGAUGGAGCGACGCCGCGUGGAGGACGAAGGCCCUCGGGUUGUAAACUCCUGACAUGCGGGAACAAGAAAGUGAUAGUACCGCAAGAGGAAGAGACGGCUAACUCUGUGCCAGCAGCCGCGGUAAUACAGAGGUCUCAAGCGUUGUUCGGAUUCAUUGGGCGUAAA
RNAcentral lists this ribosomal RNA (505 nucleotides) under uncultured bacterium. RNAcentral describes it as "bacterial SSU rRNA". It matches the Rfam family "Bacterial small subunit ribosomal RNA", at positions 50 to 564 of the family's 1533-position model. The record is from RNAcentral.